GAUGAACGCUGGCGGCGUGCUUAACACAUGCAAGUCGAACGAAGCACUUUACUACGAUUUCUUCGGAAUGACGGUUUUGUGACUGAGUGGCGGACGGGUGAGUAACGCGUGGAUAACCUGCCUCAUACAGGGGGAUAACAGCCGGAAACGGCUGCUAAUACCGCAUAAGCGCACGGUACCGCAUGGUACAGUGUGAAAAACUCCGGUGGUAUGGGAUGGAUCCGCGUCUGAUUAGCCAGUUGGCGGGGUAACGGCCCACCAAAGCGACGAUCAGUAGCCGACCUGAGAGGGCGUACGGCCACAUUGGGACUGAGACACGGCCCAGACUCCUACGGGAGGCAGCAGUAGGGAAUAUUGCACAAUGGAGGAAACUCUGAUGCAGCCAUGCCGCGUGUGUGAAGAAGGCCUUCGGGUUGUAAAGCACUUCGGUAGGGGAGGAAAGAUGACGUUACCCUCAGAAGAAGCACCGGCUAACUACCGUGCC
RNAcentral lists this ribosomal RNA (484 nucleotides) under uncultured bacterium. RNAcentral's name for it is "bacterial SSU rRNA". It matches the Rfam family "Bacterial small subunit ribosomal RNA", at positions 28 to 509 of the family's 1533-position model. The record is from RNAcentral.